AUUGAACGCUGGCGGAAUGCUUUACACAUGCAAGUCGAACGGUAGAGGGGGCAACCCCUCGAGAGUGGCGAACGGGUGAGUAAUAUAUCGGAACGUGCCCAGUCGUGGGGGAUAACGUAGCGAAAGUUACGCUAAUACCGCCUACGAUCUACGGACGAAAGCGGGGGAUCGCAAGACCUCGCGCGAUUGGAGCGGCGGAUAUCAGAUUAGGUAGUUGGUGGGGUAAAGGCUCACCAAGCCAACGAUCUGUAGAUGGUCUGAGAGGACGACCAGCCACACUGGAACUGAGACACGGUCCAGACUCCUACGGGGGGCAGCAGUGGGGAAUUUUGGACAAUGGACGCAAGUCUGAUCCAGCCAUUCCGCGUGCAGGAUGAAGGCCCUCGGGUUGUAAACUGCUUUUGUACGGAACGAAAAGGUUUCCAUUAAUACUGGGAGCUCAUGACGGUACCGUAAGAAUAAGCACCGGCUAACUACGUGCCAGCCGCCGCGGUAA
RNAcentral lists this ribosomal RNA (496 nucleotides) under uncultured bacterium. RNAcentral describes it as "partial 16S ribosomal RNA". It matches the Rfam family "Bacterial small subunit ribosomal RNA", at positions 30 to 523 of the family's 1533-position model. The record is from RNAcentral.